Andrographis paniculata is the source of this 1340-nucleotide long non-coding RNA. RefSeq lists it as uncharacterized. The record is from RefSeq and is a predicted model, not a curated record. NCBI's taxonomy places the organism in Eukaryota, Viridiplantae, Streptophyta, Magnoliopsida, Lamiales, Acanthaceae. The transcript is spliced from 6 exons.
AAAUGAAUGCUAUCUUGCUAAACCCCUUCCUUGCCCACUUCUCAGCAUUUCCUGCCUGAGUUGUUGACCGCCAGCGGCGGAGCAGAUCCAUCAAACGGGAUGACAGCGGUGUUGGUGCGGCUGUAGGACGGACGGCCGCCUAUAGGUGGAAUUGAAAUUGGGGAAGAAACUGAAUUUUAAUUUACCAUAUGGGCAAUGCGUUGGUCGUUGAUCGCUGAUCGCUUCCGCAGCGCCUCCGCCACGAAGCUCAUCGCCUACGGCGGCGGCGACACCCGUAUCUUCACGGGAAGGCACCUCACCGGUGACAUCAUGUUCGAGUUCGCCAACAUCAUGCAAAUUUGAAGAAGAUUGGGUAAGGACAAACGGAAGAUAACGAGAAAAAGGCUAUACCCUAAUUCAGAAGCAGAGGGUUAAGGGAUAGAUGACUAUAUGGAACCCUAAUCCAUCCGUGGAGGUGUGGCACUCUCUAUCUCAAGAGUUUCUUGUUUUGAAGUUUUGCUGAUUGAGGAGGAUUUGGUGGAGGAAGAUUUGAGGGAAAUUGAAAACCCUAGAACUUUUUUAUCAUUCAUUGCCAUGGAAGAAGACACCUAAACCAAAAAUCAUUUGAGAUGCACUUGAAAGACGAUAAAGUCCUGGCUGAGAAGCACAGGAAGAGAACGAGAAAGACUCCUGCACAGAUUCGAGCAUUGGAGAACUUUUAUUCGGAUACGGUAAAAGCAGAAAUUUCUGAGGCGACAGGCUUGACUGAGCAGCAAGUCUAUGGAUGGUUUUGUCACCGGAGGUUGAAAGACAAAAAGCUUUAUUUUAGCUCUGCAGCUGGAGGGCCGGAGCACUCAAGUGGAGUAGUGCAAGAUCAUGGCAGUGGGCAUAGGCCAGAUUCUUGCGGCAGUACAAAACUAGGAGGUUUUGAUACCAAGGAAGUCGAAAGUGGUAGGUAAUUCUUCCAAAACAAAAGAAGUAUAUACGGCACAUCAUCCGGGAGUAGUUUGUCAUUGAGGACCCUGCCUGGCAAUAAUAUAAUAAAGCCCACCUAUAUGGAAACUUCCGGGUACUUACCUCUGAAAUCUCCUCUGGAUAUGCCUGCUGCAAAACCUAGGUCAGGCCCUUCGGGUUAUUUAAAGAUGCUGAAGUGCCCGUCUGAAAAUCCUGUUGUAACUGCUGUCAAAAAACAGCUGGGAAGCCUCUAUACAGAGGAUGGUCCAACACUCGGUGUCGAUUUUGACAGUCCUCCUCCUGGUUCCUUCAAAUCAAAACAGGUUCAAGUUCAUGGAGAGAAGGCAUUUCAAUUGCUCCAGGUGGUAUUUUGAAUCUCCACCGGCAGCUCAAGUUUGGAAAGGCAA